Molecule: long non-coding RNA, 964 nt
Organism: Magnolia sinica
Lineage: Eukaryota; Viridiplantae; Streptophyta; Magnoliopsida; Magnoliales; Magnoliaceae
Exons: 3
Source: RefSeq, a predicted model, not a curated record
AGGAGGUUGGGGCUGCCGAGUUAAGCCCAGAUUGACUCGGUCCAGGUUGCUGUGGAACGUCCCAGCAACAAACCGCAUUGGGCAGUUGUGUGCUCGUCCCUGGAAGCUGCUGAGUCUAACUCAGUUCGAGCCAAGGUGAGAAUGAUCCUCUCUAGUUCAGCAAAGGGGUGAGAGAUGAGGGCGAGUUUCGAGAACUCAGUAAGUUGUUUCCCUUUCCACUUAGCUCUUGGCCUGUAUGCAUUACUGAUCCCCUGUAUCUACACUUAGCUGGGGCAUGGGCUUUAGAUGACCUUUGGUUGUGAUGAGUUAAUUAAAUCGUUUGUGGUUAGCCAUCAGUUCAGCAAACUCCAUCUAAAAUUGAGUUUAUGAGCCAUUUUGCACCUAGAGCUCUAUCCUGUCACUAGAUCAUCAACCCAGUGCACUUGGGCUUAUUUAAAGUAGAGUUUGACUCAUUUUUGGGAUGUCCUUUAGGUUAGGUUUCUCAAUGGAGAUGGUAUGGAUAAUUGUUUUAUGAAUCGGACUUUGAGUUUUGGGAUUGGGUUGAGCUAAGUCACACUCGUAUUGCACCAACUAACAAACUUGCCAACUCAGUGCUCUUCGUGAGGUCUUGAGGAGACCCGAGCGAUUGAGCUUCAUUAAGGUUCCACCACUAUAGGAGGCCUUGCCUUAAGGGCGGUUAUGAUUAUCUUACCGACUAUCUCAAAGCUCUAAAAUUUUCAUGUUGAGACUUGCCUACUUGAUCAAGUAAAAUCAAAUCAACCCUAAGUUGGACCAAGGUAUUUAGUAGAGGCUACCUUAGAUCACUCUUGUUGAAGUCAAGUAGGUGUGAACAUUACGAUUGGAUUCAAGUUGAUUACAUCUAAUAAUUGAUCAAAGUUGAUGCGGGUGUAGAGGGAGCCGAUGUUGUUUACUGGAUUGCUAGAGCAGAUCGGGUAGCUGGGGAGCUAGACGGGGUCCCUGUGGC